Molecule: ribosomal RNA, 466 nt
Filed under: uncultured bacterium
Lineage: Bacteria
Description: partial 16S ribosomal RNA
Rfam family: Bacterial small subunit ribosomal RNA
Source: RNAcentral
GACGAACGCUGGCGGCGCGCCUAACACAUGCAAGUCGAACGAGCGAGAGAGAGCUUGCUUUCUUGAGCGAGUGGCGAACGGGUGAGUAACGCGUGAGGAACCUGCCUCAAAGAGGGGGACAACAGUUGGAAACGACUGCUAAUACCGCAUAAGCCCACGGUGCCGCAUGGCACAGAGGGAAAAGGAGCAAUCCGCUUUGAGAUGGCCUCGCGUCCGAUUAGCUAGUUGGUGAGGUAACGGCCCACCAAGGCGACGAUCGGUAGCCGGACUGAGAGGUUGAACGGCCACAUUGGGACUGAGACACGGCCCAGACUCCUACGGGAGGCAGCAGUGGGGAAUAUUGCACAAGGGGGGAAACCCUGAUGCAGCGACGCCGCGUGGAGGAAGAAGGUCUUCGGAUUGUAAACUCCUGUUGUUGGGGAAGAUAAUGACGGUACCCAACAAGGAAGUGACGGCUAACUACGUG